This 492-nucleotide ribosomal RNA is filed under the name uncultured bacterium. RNAcentral's name for it is "partial 16S ribosomal RNA". It matches the Rfam family "Bacterial small subunit ribosomal RNA", at positions 29 to 507 of the family's 1533-position model. The record is from RNAcentral.
AGUGAACGCUGGCGGUAGGCCUAACACAUGCAAGUCGAACGGCAGCACAGUAAGAGCUUGCUCUUACGGGUGGCGAGUGGCGGACGGGUGAGGAAUACAUCGGAAUCUACUUUUUCGUGGGGGAUAACGUAGGCAAACUUACGCUAAUACCGCAUACGACCUACGGGUGAAAGCUGGGGAUCUUCGGCCCUUGCGCGAUUCAAUGAGCCGAUGUCGGAUUAGCUAGUUGGCGGGGUAAAGGCCCACCAAGGCGACGAUCCGUAGCUGGUCUGAGAGGAUGAUCAGCCACACUGGAACUGAGACACGGUCCAGACUCCUACGGGAGGCAGCAGUGGGGAAUAUUGGACAAUGGGCGCAAGCCUGAUCCAGCCAUACCGCGUGGGUGAAGAAGGCCUUCGGGUUGUAAAGCCCUUUUGUUGGGAAAGAAAAGCAGCAGGUUAAUACCCCGCUGUUCUGACGGUACCCAAAGAAUAAGCACCGGCUAACUUCGUG